UCUAGAGAAUACCGUUUCCACGAAAACGGUCAAAUCCAAAGCGACUGUCUGAACAUCUCUUUUUGAGAAGGGGUAUAAUUCUGCUGGGUCAGUAGUUCAGGUGGUUAGAAUGCCGCUCUGAUGCAGCGGAGGUCGAAGAUGCGAGUUCUUCCUGAGCCACCACUUAAAUUGAUGAGGUUGGAAUCAAAAACAAAUACUUGUUUUUGAUUCCUGAUGUUCUGAUAGAAUAUCUUCGGAAUCUGCUUUUAUUAGCAAUCAUUGUCUAUCGGUUUUUAAUGUCGUAAAUCAGACUCUAUGGAAACAUGACUUUUGAUUUAUUGAACAUCGUAAUCUCACAAAUCUGUCUAAAUAGAGUAAUCGCGAAAGUGAUAAUUCCAUUAGAGAUGCCAGAAUCAACUUGCAUGCUUACUAAACUCAUUAUGUUCGUUUGAUUGAGUCUGAAGACUUUCUCUUCAAGCAUAAGAUACAACGUAACACAGGGUGUUUAGUGGAUGCCUUGCCAAUCAGAGGCGAUGAAGG
Molecule: transfer RNA, 519 nt
Filed under: uncultured bacterium
Lineage: Bacteria
Description: partial contains 16S ribosomal RNA, 16S-23S ribosomal RNA intergenic spacer, and 23S ribosomal RNA
Source: RNAcentral